GGGCGUCGGUGCGGCCUGCGGAUCCCGGGAGAGCACCCCAGGAGCACAGUCCUGGAGGGGUUCACCGCCGACCAUCACUGAUGACCUGCCACUCCCCAAGGCCUGUCCAGAUCUCUGCACACCUGUGGAUAGGCCAGUCUGUGGAGGGUUCUCCUUCCCCUCCCUUCCAGGCUGCCGCCUUGGUCCUCCUCCCUUCAUCCUUGGUUUGGCAGGAGAACUCAGGGACCUCUGGGCACUUCUCGGCCCCCUCCCUUUGCCUCUUGUCUUCCACCUUCACAGCCGUGGGAGCAGCCCCAGUCAUCACUAGAGCCUUCACGAUGGCCCUAACAAGUUGAGGAGGUUGGAGGCCUUAGGCAGGGCCCUUCCUCCUUCUGGGUCUGGGCUUCCUUCCUGUCAAAAGAGAAAAAUGAGAAGCACAGCACCAGGCGGUUUUAGAAACAGCAAGAUGCAGUGUGCUCCAGAGCCGUGCAGAGGGCUCAGUACACGUGAGGCCCUCGGCCCCUGCCACUCUUCCUUCCUUUCUCCCUUGGGUGC
RNAcentral lists this long non-coding RNA (534 nucleotides) under Marmota monax (woodchuck). Lineage: Eukaryota; Metazoa; Chordata; Mammalia; Rodentia; Sciuridae. The record is from RNAcentral.